This 96-nucleotide small nucleolar RNA is filed under the name Sorex araneus (European shrew). RNAcentral describes it as "Small nucleolar RNA SNORA65 (ENSSARG00000018749.1)". Lineage: Eukaryota; Metazoa; Chordata; Mammalia; Eulipotyphla; Soricidae. The record is from RNAcentral.
UUCUCCAUUGGCUGGUGCAAUUCAGUGGAGAGCUGAGACUAAACCCCAGUUUAGGAAACAUGCAGUUGACUUUCUGUGGUAAUCCUGGGAAUAGCC